AGAGGGUGCAAGCGUUAAUCGGAAUUACUGGGCGUAAAGCGUGCGUAGACGGUCAUGUAAGUCGGGUGUGAAAGCCCCGGGCUCAACCUGGGAAUUGCAUUCGAGACUGCAUGGCUAGGAUGCGGAAGAGGGAAGCGGAAUUUCCGGUGUAGCGGUGAAAUGCGUAGAUAUCGGAAGGAACACCAGUGGCGAAAGCGGCUUCCUGGUCCAGCAUCGACGUUCAGGCACGAAAGCGUGGGGAGCAAACAGGAUUAGAUACCCUGGUAGUCCACGCCAUAAACGAUGAGAACUAGACGUUGAGAGGGUAAGCCUCCCAGUGUCGCAGCUAACGCGCUAAGUUCUCCGCCUGGGGAGUACGGCCGCAAGGUUG
RNAcentral lists this ribosomal RNA (370 nucleotides) under uncultured bacterium. RNAcentral describes it as "bacterial SSU rRNA". It matches the Rfam family "Bacterial small subunit ribosomal RNA", at positions 527 to 896 of the family's 1533-position model. The record is from RNAcentral.